Molecule: ribosomal RNA, 319 nt
Filed under: uncultured eukaryote
Lineage: Eukaryota
Description: partial 18S ribosomal RNA
Rfam family: Eukaryotic small subunit ribosomal RNA
Source: RNAcentral
CCCUUAGAUGUUCUGGGCCGCACGCGCGCUACAAUGGUCUUCGCAAACGGAUGCAUUCUCGAAGGAGAAUGCCAAUCUUGGAAUCUAUGCCUUGGUCGGGGCAGUUGCUUGCAAUUUUUCGACUCGAACCAGGAAUUCCUUGUAAUCGUGAUUCAUCACAUCACGAUGAAUACGUCCCUGCCCUUUGUACACACCGCCCGUCGCUCCUACCGAUCGAAGAGUUAGGUGAAUUGUUUUGAUCGAUAAGAUUUGACUAUGGUCAACUCUCGUUGUGAAAUUCUGUGAAUCUGACUGUUUAGAGGAAGGAAAAGUCGUAACA